Molecule: long non-coding RNA, 408 nt
Organism: Xiphophorus couchianus (Monterrey platyfish)
Lineage: Eukaryota; Metazoa; Chordata; Actinopteri; Cyprinodontiformes; Poeciliidae
Exons: 2
Source: RefSeq, a predicted model, not a curated record
CGUUUGCCCUCUCCGUCCAGUGGCUCCACGCAUAUCUGGCUGUAGUAGUCUGGGCCAAAAUCUAUGUUAUCCUUGACAUGGUCACUGGUGGAGAGGGAAGAUGACAACUGAGAAGAUUCUGGGAACAACACAAAAUAUUCACACACUUCCACCCCUUGGCAUCCCUAAUCUUUUCCAUGAGUCAGUCAGUAUUGAGCUCAUGUUGUUCACAGUGGAGCACUUGAUCCGCAGUCCACACCAAAGCUUCCCAGCAGCAGAGUUCCCAUGAACGACCUCUCUGGGAGAAAUGGCUGAGUUGGCAAGCAGAAGUCGACCACUAGAGAAGGCCGUUUACGCUCUGACAAAUCACAUGACUCGUGGUGUAAAGGGAGUGUACCGACAUGAAUUAAAACAAAGCAUCUGCUUCUA